UACGGAGGGUGCAAGCGUUAUCCGGAUUCACUGGGUUUAAAGGGUGUUGUAGGCGGAUAUUUAAAGUCAGUGGUGAAAUCUCCAGGCUCAACCUGGAAACUGCCAUUGAUACUAGUUUAUCUUGAAUUCUGUUGAGGUGGGCGGAAUACAUCAUGUAGCGGUGAAAUGCUUAGAUAUGAUGUAGAACACCGAUUGCGAAGGCAGC
Molecule: ribosomal RNA, 205 nt
Filed under: uncultured bacterium
Lineage: Bacteria
Description: partial 16S ribosomal RNA
Rfam family: Bacterial small subunit ribosomal RNA
Source: RNAcentral